Molecule: long non-coding RNA, 939 nt
Organism: Syngnathus acus (greater pipefish)
Lineage: Eukaryota; Metazoa; Chordata; Actinopteri; Syngnathiformes; Syngnathidae
Exons: 2
Source: RefSeq, a predicted model, not a curated record
CUCAGAUCACAGUAGGGCACGACUAACAGCCAUAUCCCUGUGGUAGCAGUGUGACUAAGAGUUUAAUUUGGGAGCAGCCGUCACUUCAAAGGGAGACAGUUCAUCCCCGGGACACAUCAGGAACCAUUUGUGAUUUGCAGGCAGUAAGCAGUCACUGAGGGAACCUCAUGGCCUCCAGCUAAUUAAAAACAUUUAGACACUCGGAACAAACAGAAGAAUCAGUGGUGGUUUGGAUUGUUUGACAGGUCAUGUGGCUUUGUGCAUGUGGGUGUCACACUUUACACUGGACUUAUUAUUGCUGUAAUUAAAAUAUGACUACUAUGAGGAUACAACCACCAGGGAUAUAAAUAUUGAAUUUUAAAUAUGUAGAUGUGUUUAUCAAAUGUUUACGUGCACUAAAGUGGGAACUUUUUCAAACUGUCAAACAACAAAAAAUUCUGCAUGUCACAAAUUCCAAAAUCCAAUAAGUUUCAAACUCUCGGUCUUCUUUGAAGUAAUACUCAAAUAAUGUUACAAUCCAAAAGAGUCUCUUGCUUAAUGUGGAGCCAUGUCUUUGUUAACAUAAAUUUAUUGUUACAACCUAUUGGCAAUUUGUCACAACCAAGCAUUCACCUUAACUCAAACAAAACAGUCAGCGAAGCAGGUUGUCAACCCGGGUGGCCUCCUUCUGGUUUGUCUCACUUAUGCACAAAAACUUUAACAAUGACUAAUAACUGACCUAGAGUGUGAGGAGACAUUAACACAUUCAGUAUGUGCUUGAGUAUAAUUAAUUGUGCAAACGAUGAUGUGAGCAAACCUCUUUAAUGGCUUUUCUAUGCAUUCAUGAAAAUAAUAACACUGACCGUAAGCAGGAUGGCAACAUGAGCAUGAACAUUUAUAAAUAAUCAAGGCAUUGUUGUGAGAGGAAGCUACAUUAGGACAAUAAACACGUGUCGAUUU